GUGAAUCAUCAAAUCUUUGAACGCAAAUUGCACUCUCUGGUAUUCCGGAGAGUAUGCCUGUUUGAGGGUUAGUUUAUAUAAAAUACGGUGUGGUUGCUGCCUUUCGUGGUGACGCACCGGUUUUGGGUCGUCUUGCCGUCGGCUAUGCGACCUAAAAUUAUGUAUGAUUUUUUUCGACUGUAUUUAAUUGAUUAUAAGUACGCUUUCGAUACUGAUUAC
Molecule: unclassified non-coding RNA, 219 nt
Filed under: Glomeromycetes sp.
Lineage: Eukaryota; Fungi; Glomeromycota; Glomeromycetes
Description: partial contains 5.8S ribosomal RNA and internal transcribed spacer 2
Rfam family: 5.8S ribosomal RNA (bases 1-71)
Source: RNAcentral